This 71-nucleotide transfer RNA is filed under the name Sorex daphaenodon (large-toothed Siberian shrew). RNAcentral's name for it is "tRNA-Ala". It matches the Rfam family "tRNA". Rfam says of the family: Transfer RNA (tRNA) molecules are approximately 80 nucleotides in length. Their secondary structure includes four short double-helical elements and three loops (D, anti-codon, and T loops). The record is from RNAcentral. Lineage: Eukaryota; Metazoa; Chordata; Mammalia; Eulipotyphla; Soricidae.
AAGGAUUUAGCUUAAUUAAAGUGGUUGAUUUGCAUUCAAUUGAUGUAGGAUAGAGUCUUGCAAUCCUUAGG